Vigna radiata var. radiata (mung bean) is the source of this 764-nucleotide long non-coding RNA. RefSeq lists it as uncharacterized. The record is from RefSeq and is a predicted model, not a curated record. Lineage: Eukaryota; Viridiplantae; Streptophyta; Magnoliopsida; Fabales; Fabaceae. The transcript is spliced from 3 exons.
CUGCAAAAAAGAAUUAAAACUAAGACCACUGAAUUUUCAUUCCCGCAGCUCUCCCUCUUCGCGAACCUUCAUUCCCGCACCUCUUCUUCACUGAACUUCUUCACUGUCAGUCCCACAACUCUUCUUUUAUCCCUCUCUAUCUCCGACUCGUUUCUUCCGCGUCAUUGUUUCUUUCGCUGGAACUUUGCCAUCGCGAGUUGUGUGGAUUACGAUUUCAUUUGUCGAACGCAGUUUGAAAUCGCGACUUUCGAAACCCUAGGUUGGUUUCUUCGAACUGGAAGGUUGAGUUCUAGUCGCCUUUUGCUGGUGGAGGUUUGAAAUUGCGAUUUUGGAAACCGUAGGUUGGUUUGUUCGAAGCGGAAGAGAUAAGUUGGAGCUGCAAUUGCCUUCUGCUCUUGGUAAGUAUGAAUUGCUUACAUUUCGGUUUCUUUUUAUUGGNUGUUAUUGAAAGGUGAUAAAAUGUCAUAUAUACUACUUAAGUAUAUCUUGAAUCAACACUUCCUGUGCUAAUUAGUUGUUUUUAGACCAUAAUUAGUCUAGCGUCUUAAAUUGGUAGAUUUCACUCAAGUUCUAGUCCUNCCUCUGUUCUUCAUUAGUUUUCAGUUUAUGUCUUUUUGUGAGAUUCGGGUAAUCAACAUGUAAUAUUGUUAUUUUGUUUUUCUGGUUUUCUGCAAAAUUAAAAGUUCAUACUUCAUUGUAGUAUUGUUGUUUCUUGUGCAUAUAUCAUUAGUUCUAUAAUCAACAACAAUCUUUAUUUUGGUUCA